Molecule: long non-coding RNA, 1058 nt
Organism: Hemicordylus capensis (graceful crag lizard)
Lineage: Eukaryota; Metazoa; Chordata; Lepidosauria; Squamata; Cordylidae
Exons: 6
Source: RefSeq, a predicted model, not a curated record
GGCGGGGCUGGAGGACCAACAAUGCUAGCAAUGGCUGGAGAGAACCUGAAAAAGUUAAUCGUCUGUCACUCACACUCCCUGCCGGGUUUGCAGCAUGUGCCCGUCUGUUUGCUUUGAGCUCUGAGGGAAUUCUGUGAUCCCAGCGGAGAUCUUUGCUGUUUUUAUUUCCCAUCCUCUCCAAUUAAUGUUAAUCCAGAUUUCAGCACGUUCCAGCAGUUAAUGGUCAAAACAUCUCCUCCCAUAAUGUUUUGAUGACUAGUUAGGAGUCUGAAUUUUCUAUCAUUGCCACUGAAGAAGUCUAAUCGAUAGCUGAAACAUGUGUGGCAUAUGGGGCACGACUCUGAACUGGACUUCAUUCCUCCAGAGUUCCAUAGGAAGCUUUUACUGGCACCCUUCACCAACAUUAAAAAGGCCUCUCAGUGCAAUGCUACAUCCUUCCCAGCUCAAAACUCUCACAUCAGCCCUAGUCCACAGCAGUGCCCCCAUUUUCAUCUCUCAAGAAGUUAAGAUCACUGGCAUAAUUGGGAAGCAGCAGGAGAUGCCCGCAAACGGGUGAGAAUAAUGAUGGAAACAGCCCUCUCGUUUUUUGUGUUAAUGGAGCAGGGGGAGACCAACUGGCCUUAUCCAUCCCCAGCACAGCAUCCUUCCAGUAACUACUGCUGGUGCCUACCUUGUAUUUCUUUUCAGAUUGUGAGCCCUUUGGGGACAAGGUAGCAUCUUAUUUAUUUCUAUGUCAACCGCUUUGAGAACUGUGGAAAAGCAGUAUAUAUUCCAAGAAGAAGAAGAAGAAGAAGAAGAAGAAGAAGAAGUAGUAGUAGUAGUAGUAGUAGUAGUAGUAGUAGUAGUAGUUUUGGAGGGAAAGGAGAGAUGUGAAAACCACUCCCUCUUCCCCUCCACACUGGUCCACUGUACAUGAUGACUUCAUUGCAGGGUUACUGGAGGCUCCUUGAGGGCCUCACCAGAAGUCUUAGGCUCAUGUGGGCCACCAUUAUUAUUAUUGCCAUUGAUGUACAUGGCACUUAACAGAGUUUCAUACCCCCCUAGGCAAAGCUUCUAGU